CUUGUCCUUGGAAGCUCAAACUGCUGUUAGGAAUCUGGGACUCCACAGCCAACAGACCAAACACCUGGACAAACAUCUCCUUACAGGGACUUUUCAAUCGCAGGUGCCCUGACCAGGACCAAACCGGCCACCUUUAACCAAUUGUGCUACCCUGCCAGGGCUAAAUGCAGACAGUGUUUUAUGCACAAAGAUUUUCAUGUCUCCUAUGAACCAAUUUUCUCUCCUUUCCUGGAUUAAAACAGAAGAAAUGCCAUAAAAACAAAUGAAGUUCUGUUACAUGCUACAGCCUGGAUGAACGUUGAAAACUGGAGCCUUCUUUCUUGUUCCUGGUAAGGCCCAAAGGACCUCGCCGAGCGGUGUGUCUGCCAAAGAAGAAAAGAGGAAGAGGGAGAAGGAGAGAGAACAACCAAACACCACUGUGUUUUGUGACCGAUGGGCUCCUCUUAGGACGAGAGAUGUUUUGCACAUUAUAAAAGGUUAUUAAAAAAUGAAAACAUACAGUGAUACUAUUUAUAAUAUUUAAAAUAUCAAAUACUUAGAAAUAAAUCUAACA
Molecule: long non-coding RNA, 553 nt
Organism: Artibeus jamaicensis (Jamaican fruit-eating bat)
Lineage: Eukaryota; Metazoa; Chordata; Mammalia; Chiroptera; Phyllostomidae
Exons: 4
Source: RefSeq, a predicted model, not a curated record